Theobroma cacao (cacao) is the source of this 498-nucleotide non-coding RNA. Lineage: Eukaryota; Viridiplantae; Streptophyta; Magnoliopsida; Malvales; Malvaceae. The record is from RefSeq and is a predicted model, not a curated record.
GAAUUCUUUCAUGGCAAAUAGCUCAGGGAAUCCAAAGCAUUCCAGAGAGUUCAUUGGAAUUUGCAAAUGACAAAGCUCUGCUUCUAGCUAAGUCUUUAAGGGGAGCACUGCUUACACUUUUCUAUUUAUCCACAUUCUUGUCUGCUCUCACCAUUAUAGGCCUUGUCUUACUUGGAAGACAACUAAAGUCUGAGGAAAAGUGACCUUGGAGCUGUGUUGCCUCAAUUUUGCUUAAAAGUUGGCUUAGAUUAGAUUCUUCUUAGACAACUACAACCUGCAGCUUUGAUAAUCAAUAAUCAAGAACAGUAUGGAAGUAAGGCUGCUGUCCGUCUGUGACUUCAGAAAGUACAAAAAUUUUGUGAUUAUGAAAAUGUAGUUAUGUCUUUUACUUAGCAGAUCCCAACUUGUUUCAGAUUAAGGCUUAGCUGAGUUGAGCUCAGCUGUCAUCUGGUUCUCUCUUUUGGUUCUUUGGAACAAGAGAAGAUUGAUAAUUCAUCU